GACGAACGCUGGCGGCGUGCUUAACACAUGCAAGUCGAGCGGUAAGGCCCUUUCGGGGGUACACGAGCGGCGAACGGGUGAGUAACACGUGGGUGACCUGCCCUCAGCUCUGGGAUAAGCCUGGGAAACCGGGUCUAAUACCGGAUAUGACUCCAUGACGCAUGUUGUGGGGUGAAAGCCUUGUGCGGCUGAGGAUGGGCCCGCGGCCUAUCAGCUUGUUGGUGGGGUA
RNAcentral lists this ribosomal RNA (229 nucleotides) under uncultured bacterium. RNAcentral's name for it is "partial 16S ribosomal RNA". It matches the Rfam family "Bacterial small subunit ribosomal RNA", at positions 28 to 259 of the family's 1533-position model. The record is from RNAcentral.